This is a long non-coding RNA of Brienomyrus brachyistius, 920 nucleotides long. RefSeq lists it as uncharacterized. Lineage: Eukaryota; Metazoa; Chordata; Actinopteri; Osteoglossiformes; Mormyridae. The record is from RefSeq and is a predicted model, not a curated record. The transcript has 3 exons.
CUCCUUGUCAAAAUAUCUACACACAUGAAUGCAUCUUAAGGUUGUUGGUGUUCACAAGCCAUUUUUAGUUGCGCUGUUUCGGUUCACGAUUGCACGAUCGUUUCCGCCCUUUGAUUUCUAUUAGAGUACUCUCCCCCAAUACAGAUAUAACUAGCAGAACAAGAAAGUUCAAUACAGGCUUUUGACCAUGCUGGGAAGAUUCCAUCUCAGGGUUAAGCAAGGGGCAACCAUAGCCGCUGAAAUGAUACAUCAAAGGUGGCCUGAGGAGGCUUACUGGCGACGGCAGGCCUGGUUCCAUCAGGGUGCUCAUGUUCGUCGUUCUGAAAGGAGCGGAAGAGGCGCUGGCAGAGGUCUGCUGGGAAAUCCUCCACUUCCAGCAGAGUCUUGAGGAAGAGUCGAAAACCUUCCUCGGUGAUGCACUGCGUGAGAGGGAGGGAGCAGGAGGGGGAGAAGGAGCACAGACUAAACUACUGCCGAGCCCGAAUAAAGGCUGCAGCUUCCUUGUUGAUGGAGUGGCUCUGGAACAAGGCCCAUGUGCUGGUGAACGUGAAAACACUCUACACAACCUCUCUGCCACUGAGAGUAUCCAGAGCACAACAGAAGAACGGAUGAUUCACUACCCCACUCCACCAGGGACAUCGCAGUCAGUGUUACCAAAGAGUCUCUCUGGCCUAAACACUGGCCAUUUUCAGUUAAAAUAAUUACAAUUAAAUGAAAAACCAGAAUCCGGCGGAAGGAAAAAAUGACUUAAAUGAUCGAAUUAGUGAUUAGUGGCUUUUGGAGUGGAAAACAUGAAAAAGUGCUUUUUUUUAAUGAAUCCAUUCAGUAUAGUAUAUCAGAUUAAUAUCGCAGGUUUCACACAGUUCAUCCUAAUACAAUAAAGCAACUGUUUAACUCAGAGGUCUUUCAGCGUGUGAUGG